UUUAUUUUUAACUAUCUGUCGCUCGUGGACUACAUGUUUCACAACUGUUCUUGUAUGUCAAUAUUCACUUUGAUUGAUGCAAUUCUCUAGGUAGGAGAGCUCAAGAGAAUGAUUUAUUGACAAUAUAGUGGAUCUGUCAAAAAAAUUAAGAUAAUUUUUUUUAUAGGAAACACGAGAGUAACUUUGUAUUCAUCAUUAGAAAAGUAGGUAACAUGUUAUCUUAUUCUUUAAUGUUUAGUAUUCCUAACUACCAAAUAGUAGCGAGAGCUAUACAAAUAGGUUAUUUAUCAUUACAACGUAAGUGAAAUCUAAUAAAAUUAAAAGUA
Molecule: long non-coding RNA, 326 nt
Filed under: Capsella rubella
Lineage: Eukaryota; Viridiplantae; Streptophyta; Magnoliopsida; Brassicales; Brassicaceae
Description: long non-coding RNA (CRUB_LNC004906)
Source: RNAcentral